GGACCCGCACAAGUAGUGGAGCAUGUGGUUUAAUUCGAAGAUACGCGCAGAACCUUACCAACACUUGACAUGUUCGUCGCGACUUUAAGAGAUUAAAGUUUUCGGUUCGGCCGGACGAAACACAGGUGCUGCAUGGCUGUCGUCAGCUCGUGUCGUGAGAUGUUGGGUUAAGUCCCGCAACGAGCGCAACCCUCACUUUUAGUUGCCAUCAUUAAGUUGGGCACUCUGAAAGAACUGCCAGUGAUAAGCUGGAGGAAGGUGGGGAUGACGUCAAGUCCUCAUGGCCCUUACGUGUUGGGCUACACACGUGCUACAAUGGUAUCUACAACAGGAAGCCAAAAACAGCGAUGUU
RNAcentral lists this ribosomal RNA (352 nucleotides) under uncultured bacterium. Its description in RNAcentral is "bacterial SSU rRNA". It matches the Rfam family "Bacterial small subunit ribosomal RNA", at positions 917 to 1264 of the family's 1533-position model. The record is from RNAcentral.